This is a long non-coding RNA of Drosophila yakuba, 1936 nucleotides long. RefSeq lists it as uncharacterized. Lineage: Eukaryota; Metazoa; Arthropoda; Insecta; Diptera; Drosophilidae. The transcript is spliced from 2 exons. The record is from RefSeq and is a predicted model, not a curated record.
UCAAGAAUAUAUAUACUUUAUAUGGUCGGAAACGCUUCCUUCUGCCUGUUACAUACUUUUCAACGAAUCUAGUAUACCCUUUUACUCUACGAGUAACGGGUAUAAAUAUGUUUAUGUGUAUAUAUCAAGUAAAUCUUUUGUUGGAUAUAUUGCUGAAAGAUCCAGUUGCAAUAACAGCAGAUGGUAGAAUUAAAAAAAAAACCGAAGAAUUAAUAGCUCCAUCAGGGGUUUUCAUACAUGAGAAAACCUACUCAAUAGAAUCUGAUCUUUAUGUUUUAAUAUCUGCACGAAAAAUAUUAAAGUUUUUGAAAAUAUUUUUAAAAAUGAUGAGAUACCACUAUAUACAAAAAUGUAGGGUACAGCAAUGCAUUAUGUGCACAAUGAAAGUAAUAAUGAAUGUAAUGUGCAUAAAGUUGAUCUUUUAAACAAACAGAAGUUUUACUUUUUAAGUAUUGCAUUUAAAUGUUAAAAAAUAUUUUAAUAAUUGACGACUGAAUUGACUGAAAAUAAUAAAAUGAUUAAAAAAAAUAUAUUAUAUAUAUACAUAUAUUGUAUAUUUUAUUAUAUUAUAUUUUGUUGUUAUAUAUUAUAAUAUAUAUAAGUAUACAUUGCGAAAAAAAUAAUAGCAGCACCACUACGUAUUUUAUUCUCGAUCAAAUAAAUUAAGGUUGCGGUACCGAAGGUAUGAAAUACAGAUUUUUCGUAUAAUGCUAGAUAUUUUUCCCAUACAAAAAUGUAAAAAAAGAUUUGAAUUGUCCAUACCUUUAUUUUUUAUAUUUUUUUUUGGUCAGCACUAUCGAUUUUUUCAAAUAUUCAAUACUUGUCGGCGGUUUGUUUUGAUGAAAAACACAUGGUUAUAAAACUUGACAUUUGUAUUCCUAUUUCCAACAUUAUUUUUUAAACAUACCUUAAAAAAAAUUAUUAAAACCAAUUUCUAAAGGAAAAUUACACAGAAAUAUUGGUCUAAUCCUUCAAUUCUAAAACAAAAUUAUAGGAAAUGUAAUCACCUACAACGAGAAUCCCGAAAAAAGUGGGAAAAAACUUUUACUCUUUUUCUCUUCAAAAGGCGCCUAGUGCCCGAGAGCAAGAAGGAUCCAUUUAAAGCUGCUAGCGAACUGAAAAAGGAUCUCAACAUAUCCGCAACAGUGCAAACAGUUCACACAUGUCUAAGGGAACAUGGUUUAAAAGGCUGUAGUCCAAGGAAGGUCCUUUAAGUUCGUCAAGAAACAUUUAAAUUGGCCAUGCGAAAAAUGGACGAACUUUUUAUGGACAGAUGAGAGCAAGGUAGUUUUUUUUUGUGGCAAUGGAUCUUGAUCGAAUGUAAGGCGCCCUAGGAACACCGAAUAUAAGCCAUAUAAGCCAAACUACACAGUAGAAGCAAUUAAACACGAAGGAUCCUGUAUAAUGGUAUGGGCUUGUUUCUCGUACUAUGUAGUUGGGGCAAUACCAUAAUAUACCAUGGAUACAAACCAUCAUGGAUCAACAUGUGUUUGUGGAUAUUUUGGUGACGAUGAUGCUACCCUUUUCCGAAUACUAUUAACAAGACUAUGACCCCAACUACACCAGCAGGAGAGCCAAGGAUUCGUUCCAAAAUAAAUCUGUUCCUGUUUUGGAUUGGCCUGCACAGUCCCCAGACCGUAAUCCCAUCAAAAAUUCUUGGAGUCCUGGAGCAAAAUAUCCUUAAAACGGUGCCAGGACUUGGUUGAUUCCAUGGUUAAACGUUGCGAUCCUGUUACCGGUAAUACCCAACCAAAUAUUAAAUUAGUGGAAUGGGUGUAGUUUUAGCACGCAAACAUUUGUUAUUAGUGAAUUUUUUACUAUCAAGUUUAAAAUGAAAAAUGUAAGCAUUUUUCAUGAAGUGCUGCUAUUUUAUUUUUCGCCUAAUUUUGUCGUUUUUAACAAAGAUACUUAUUUAAGAUAAGAAUAAAUAAAACAA